Molecule: ribosomal RNA, 466 nt
Filed under: Vreelandella stevensii
Lineage: Bacteria; Pseudomonadati; Pseudomonadota; Gammaproteobacteria; Oceanospirillales; Halomonadaceae
Description: partial 16S ribosomal RNA
Rfam family: Bacterial small subunit ribosomal RNA
Source: RNAcentral
CCUACGGGGCGCAGCAGUGGGGAAUAUUGGACAAUGGGCGAAAGCCUGAUCCAGCCAUGCCGCGUGUGUGAAGAAGGCCUUCGGGUUGUAAAGCACUUUCAGUGGGGAAGAAAGCCUUGGGGCUAAUACCCUCGAGGAAGGACAUCACCCACAGAAGAAGCACCGGCUAACUCCGUGCCAGCAGCCGCGGUAAUACGGGAGGGUGCGAGCGUUAAUCGGAAUUACUGGGCGUAAAGCGCGCGUAGGCGGUCUGAUAAGCCGGUUGUGAAAGCCCCGGGCUCAACCUGGGAACGGCAUCCGGAACUGUCAGGCUAGAGUGCAGGAGAGGAAGGUAGAAUUCCCGGUGUAGCGGUGAAAUGCGUAGAGAUCGGGAGGAAUACCAGUGGCGAAGGCGGCCUUCUGGACUGACACUGACGCUGAGGUGCGAAAGCGUGGGUAGCAAACAGGAUUAGAUACCCUGGUAGUC